RNA transcript from Manihot esculenta (cassava), 3679 nucleotides. It is a transcript of the gene named pentatricopeptide repeat-containing protein At4g20740, with no coding region annotated. The transcript has 3 exons. Lineage: Eukaryota; Viridiplantae; Streptophyta; Magnoliopsida; Malpighiales; Euphorbiaceae. The record is from RefSeq and is a predicted model, not a curated record.
UGAUCUCAAUCUUGUUAGAUCUAUGAGGUAAAAACAGAUAGGAAUGCCAUGAGAAUGCACAGUUUUUCCUUGCGUCAAAGGCUUUUUCUUUGUUAAUAUACAGUUUUUCCAUGAAAAAUCAAUGAGUUUUUUUACGAGAGGACUGCAUAUUAAGUAUACCACCAAAAAUUUUCCUUUCUUUCUCUUUUUCCGUCCAUCCAAACAAGGGGAAGCUCCUGAAAUUUGAGAAAUGAAAGGGAUCAAGUAACCAAUGAAAUGCCAAACCCGAAACCUGUUAAACCUUACUUCUUCUACGGUCAUCGCAAGCCUUCCCAAAAUCGCCCUGUCGUCCGCGGCGGCCUCUUCUCCAACCGCCAGACAAUAAAAUCACCACCACCGCUAACUUCUCGUUUUGUGCCAUUUGACCUCCAAAAAUGGGACCCGCAAAAUCCAUCGCCACCACCACAGGCCUCCAAGCCCCCACCUUUAGCCCACAACCAUUCACUUACAAGAGUUUCCCGUCUCCUCUCUCCAAUCUCUCGCUUCAUCAUCGACGCCUUUCGGAAGAACGGCAACCACUGGGGUCCACCGGUGGUAACGGAACUACGCAAGCUCCGCCGAGUGACGCCGGACCUUGUCGCCGAAGUGCUAAAAGUCGAAAAUAACCCUCACCUGGCAUCCAAAUUCUUUCACUGGGCUGGUAAGCAGAAAGGGUACAAGCACAAUUUCGCUUCUUAUAAUGCUUUUGCUUAUUGUUUGAAUAGAAGCAGCUUAUUUCGUGCUGCUGAUCAGUUACCUGAGUUAAUGGAUUCACAAGGGAAGCCACCUACUGAGAAACAAUUUGAGAUUUUGAUUAGAAUGCAUUCUGAUGCGCAUAGGGGACUUAGAGUUUACUAUGUGUAUCAAAAGAUGAAGAAAUUCGGUGUCAAACCCCGUGCUUUCUUGUAUAAUAAAAUUAUGGAUGCUCUAAUUAAAACGGGUCAUUUGGAUUUAGCACUAUCAGUAUAUGAGGAUUUUAGGAGUGAUGGGUUGGUGGAAGACAGUCUUACAUAUAUGAUGUUGGUAAAGGGAUUGUGUAAGGACGGCAGGAUAGAGGAAGCGAUGGAACUUUUAGGAAGAAUGAGGAUGAAUUUGUGUAAACCGGAUGUUUUUGCAUACACAGCUAUGAUCAAGGUGCUGGUUGGAGAAGGGAAUUUGGAUGGAAGUUUGCAGGUUUGGGAGGAGAUGAAGAGAGAUGGAGUGAAUCCAGAUGUGAUGGCUUAUGUGACUUUAGUUGCAGGGUUGUGUAAAGGAGGGAGGGUAGGGAAGGGAUAUGAAUUGUUUAAGGAGAUGAAGGAGAAGGGAAUUUUGAUUGAUAGAGCGAUUUAUGGAACACUGGUCGAGGCAUUCGUGGAGAAUGGAAAGGUGGGAUCAGCUUGUGAUUUGUUGAAGGAUUUGGUUGAUUCUGGCUAUAGGGCUGAUUUGAGAAUUUAUAAUUCACUUAUUGAAGGUCUCUGUAAUGUGAAGCGGGUAGAUAAGGCUCAUACUCUUUUUCAGGUUUUACAACAAGAGGGUCUUGAGCCAGACUUUAAGACAGUGAAUCCUAUGUUGGUGUCUUAUGCGGAGAUGAAAAGGAUGGAUGGUUUUUGCAGGCUGCUUGUGGAGAUGAACAAGUUGGGAUUCUCUGUUAUUGAUGAUAUUUCCAAAUUCUUCUCAUUUGUGGUUGAGAAGAAGGAAAGGAUUAUGAUGGCCUUGGAAGUGUUUGAGGACCUAAAAGUGAAAGGUUAUAGUAGUGUUCCAGUCUACAAUAUUCUUAUGGAGGCACUUCUCAAGAUUGGUGAGGUGAAGAAGGCAUUAUCACUUUUCAAUGAAAUGAAGAACUUGAAUUUUGAACCUGACUCAACUACUUACAGUAUUGCGGUUAUAUGUUUUGUCGAAGAUGGAAAUAUCCAAGAGGCUUGUAGGUGUCAUAAUAAAAUAAUUGAGAUGUCUGGUGUCCCAUCUGUGGCUGCCUAUUGUUCUCUCACUAAAGGGCUUUGUAAUAUUGGAGAGAUUGAUGAAGCCAUAAUGCUAGUUCGUGACUGCUUAGGCAAUGUUACAAGUGGCCCCAUGGAAUUUAAGUACACUCUUACAAUUCUUCAUGUUUGUAAAUUAGGUGAGGCUGAAAAGGUGAUAGAAGUGCUGAAUGAGAUGAUGCAGGAGGGUUGUCCUCCCAAUGAGGUCAUAUAUUCUGCUAUUAUCUCUGGCAUGUGCAAGCAUGGGACAUUGGAAGAGGCACGGAAAGUGUUUACAAAAUUGAAAGAGCUCAAACUUCUGUCAGAAGCCAAGACAAUUGUUUAUGAUGAAAUAUUAAUUGAACACAUGAAGAGGAAGACAGCGGACUUGGUGGUGUCAGGAUUGAAGUUUUUUGGUCUGGAGUCAAAAUUGAAAGCAAAGGGAUGUACACUUCUGUCAAGUUGAAAAGACAAGAGACUGGAGAAGUGUUCUUGCUUAUGUGCCUUUAUCCAAUUUCCUAUCUCACAGCACCUAGUCAAAUAGGUCAGUAAGGUUCCUUUGUGUGUGCCUUGUGUGCAGAUCCAGGCAAUGAGGCCUCAAGUCUGAAGCUGUGAACUCAUUUGUCUUCCUAUGGUUUGUGCACUUAGCCAUAUUGUUCCUUAUUCCUUCUCUUCCUUCUUUUUAACUAUAUUUAUUAUCAUAUUGGGAAAUCAGUGGAAUUAUGCUAGUAAGUGAAUGGAGUGAUUGAUAUGGAUCUAAUUGAUUGAGUUUUAGAAUCUUUUGUAAGCUGGCACUUGUAACAUACAUUCGUUUCAGUAUUACUGUGAAUAAUUCAGCACUAAGGAAGAUAGUGAUCUAAUGUUCACAGCAAGCUUUGGUCUCUGAAUGCUCAUGGAAAAUGCUGCAGGUGAUUUUCAUCAUCUUAGUUGCGAAUGUUGCUACCAGUGCUAGGUUUGGACGUGGCAUAGAGGAAUCUUGAAUUUUGGGUGUUUCCCUCUCGUGUUUGUUGAGCAAAUGAUCCCUUUGGCAACUGACCACAUUGGUAAACUACCCUUGGCAGUAAUUAGCAGCAAUCUGGGUUCAACAACUGGUUUCAUAAUCUUAGCCGUUCUCAAGAUAUAUUAUUGCAAGGAACUUGUGGUUAGCAGAGAACAGCUUGAAGGGGUCUUGUGGAUUGAAUUUUAGUCUGCAUGUGCUGAAGCCAUUUUAAGAGUGUCAUUUCUCAUACUUUGUAUCAGAAAGCAAACCAAUUAAGUGUACCUGUUGUGAUUUGAACUUCAGGGCACCAACACAAUAAUACUAAUUUCACACGUGGAACUGUUCAUUCCAAAUGUUCUGCAUUGUCAAGGAUUGAUACUAUUAUUUUGUUCAGUUAGGAAUGGGAUACUAUGGCCGAGAGGGCGAUAGUCAAACUGAAGUUUUGCAUGUUUUUAAGCGCGACAUUGCAGGCAGGGUGAGGAGCUAGGGAACGAAAAGGAGAACAGAGAACUUUGGCUAUCAUUCUGUAGCUUGUCAACUUUGCCGCUAUUUUGGCCGGUGCAUGGAUUCCUAACUAUGAUAAUUUUCUGGUCUGAUGAGUCUCCAUUCUCUUAAGAAAUGUUUAUUCGCAGAAUUUGUGUUGUAACUUUGCAGUACUGCAUAUGAGCGUAAAAAGAAAAUGUUUGCCUUCAGUGCAAUUUGCGGUAGACAAGGAAUUAAGGAAAAACACUGGUGAUUUGUUUUGGUA